This is a long non-coding RNA of Sinocyclocheilus rhinocerous, 150 nucleotides long. RefSeq lists it as uncharacterized. NCBI's taxonomy places the organism in Eukaryota, Metazoa, Chordata, Actinopteri, Cypriniformes, Cyprinidae. The transcript is spliced from 4 exons. The record is from RefSeq and is a predicted model, not a curated record.
UAUAUAAGAGCCCGUCCCCCGCAUGACGUUCUCUUGGAGUCGUUGCUAUCGCUUGACGAGAACCAUCUUCUCAUCAUGAGAGCGAAGUGGCGAAAGAAGCGCAUGCGCAGGCUGAAGCGUAAAAGGAGAAAGAUGAGGCAGAGGUCAAAG